AGAAACAAAGACCUUCAACCUUCAGG
RNAcentral lists this non-coding RNA (26 nucleotides) under Rattus norvegicus (Norway rat). Lineage: Eukaryota; Metazoa; Chordata; Mammalia; Rodentia; Muridae. The record is from RNAcentral.